RNAcentral lists this long non-coding RNA (1060 nucleotides) under Neogobius melanostomus (round goby). RNAcentral's name for it is "lncRNA (ENSNMLG00000025851.1)". The record is from RNAcentral. Lineage: Eukaryota; Metazoa; Chordata; Actinopteri; Gobiiformes; Gobiidae.
CGUUUGGACAGUAUGAGUUGCCUUCCUAUAAACAGGAUACAGGAAGGCAACUCAUACUGACCAGUAUUUGAUGUUUGACUCUAACCAUCCACUCCAACACAAAAUAGGGGUCAUUAGGACACUCAGACAUAGAGCUAAAGAGGUGCCUACCAGUGCAGAAGGAAAGACCAAAGAGGAGCAACAUGUCCAGAGAGCCCUCUCAGACUGUGGCUAUCCUAACUGGUCCUUCACUAAAGCACAAAGGGCAGGAAGACCCAAAGAACAAGACAGACAGACUACAGAACCCAGAAGAAAUGGAGUUGCAGUGCCGUAUGUAGCCGGGGUAUCAGAGAAACUUCAGAGAAUCUUUAAACAGCACAGGAUCCCAGUGUACCACAAACCUGUGAACACACUGAGACAAAAAUUAGUUCAUCCCAAAGACAAAACUCCUAGCCACAAACGAAGCAAUUUGGUUUAUUCUAUUCGAUGCAAAGAAGAAGAAUGCAAAGAACAUUAUAUUGGAGAAACCAAACAAGUCUUACAGAAGAGACUUUAUCAACACCGAAGAGAAAGCACAAGCGGCCCUCAGUCGGCUGUGCACCUUCACCUUAAAGCCUCCAAUCACUCCUUUGAGGACGGGGAGGUCAAAAUUCUAGCUAAAGAAGAACGUUGGUUUGAAAGAGGAGUAAAAGAAGCUAUUUUUGUCAGAAAAGAAAAUCCCUCCAUGAACCGAAAUGGUGGGCUAAGAUUUAAUCUUUCUUCUUUUUACUCCAAUCUGCUUCGGGGAAAACCGACAGAGCACGGCCAGUCCAAGAAGACGAUACCUCAGCUAACAAAAGAACAAUAGGCAGGUGAUUAGCAGUGAUCAUCUAUGAAUAGGACAGGACUGACCGAUACUGGGGGGAGCAGGUCGUUACAGACGCUCUACUUCAAAGGUGUUUACCCAUAGGUGAGAGUAGCUGUGAUUAGAGGGGAGGAGCCGGGUCAACCCCAACUCCUCCCAACUGGUCUUUAUCUACGCUGCGUGUUGAGCGUAACUUUGUUCACUGACGAAGCCUUUUGGAUGAGAGGCGAAACGUUU